This 265-nucleotide unclassified non-coding RNA is filed under the name Homo sapiens (human). RNAcentral's name for it is "FAM20C golgi associated secretory pathway kinase (ENSG00000282147.1)". The record is from RNAcentral. Lineage: Eukaryota; Metazoa; Chordata; Mammalia; Primates; Hominidae.
ACAGACGUGGCGGGGAUGGCAGGGCAGCGCUGACGUCCUGGAAUUAGUUUUGCUGUAGUUAGAGCUGUCUGUGGUGUCUCCAGAGGGCCGCAUGCGGGUGCUGAAGGUGCAGAAUUCCUCUCCCCCGGGGAGGCGGCCGUGGACUCCUAUCCCAACUGGCUCAAGUUCCACAUUGGUAUCAACCGGUACGAGCUGUACUCCAGACACAACCCGGCCAUCGAGGCCCUGCUGCACGACCUCAGCUCCCAGAGGAUCACCAGCGUGG